This 112-nucleotide ribosomal RNA is filed under the name Sinocyclocheilus anshuiensis. The record is from RNAcentral. Lineage: Eukaryota; Metazoa; Chordata; Actinopteri; Cypriniformes; Cyprinidae.
CUUUGUGGCAGACCCCGCUUACGGCCUUGUCUGAUCUCGGAAGCUAAGCAGGGUCGGGCCUGGUUAGUACUUGGAUGGGAGACCUCCUGGGAAAACUAGGUUGCUGCUGGAA